Molecule: ribosomal RNA, 906 nt
Filed under: Pseudogymnoascus pannorum
Lineage: Eukaryota; Fungi; Ascomycota; Leotiomycetes; Thelebolales; Thelebolaceae
Description: LSU rRNA
Rfam family: Eukaryotic large subunit ribosomal RNA
Source: RNAcentral
GCAUAUCAAUAAGCGGAGGAAAAGAAACCAACAGGGAUUACCUCAGUAACGGCGAGUGAAGCGGUAACAGCUCAAAUUUGAAAUCUGGCCUCACGGUCCGAGUUGUAAUUUGUAGAGGAUGCUUCGAGCAUGGUCUGGCCUAAGUUCCUUGGAACAGGACGUCAUAGAGGGUGAGAAUCCCGUAUGCGGCCAGGUGCCUACGCUCAUGUGAAGCUCCUUCGACGAGUCGAGUUGUUUGGGAAUGCAGCUCAAAAUGGGUGGUAAAUUUCAUCUAAAGCUAAAUAUUGGCCAGAGACCGAUAGCGCACAAGUAGAGUGAUCGAAAGAUGAAAAGCACUUUGGAAAGAGAGUUAAACAGUACGUGAAAUUGUUGAAAGGGAAGCGCUUGCAACCAGACUUGCGCGCGGCCGAUCAUCCGGUGUUCUCACCGGUGCACUCGGCCGUGCUCAGGCCAGCAUCGGUUUUGGCGGCUGGAUAAAGGCCCUAGGAAUGUAGCUCCUCUCGGGGAGUGUUAUAGCCUAGGGUGCAAUGCAGCCUGCUGGGACCGAGGACCGCGCUUCGGCUAGGAUGCUGGCGUAAUGGUUGUAAGCGGCCCGUCUUGAAACACGGACCAAGGAGUCUAACAUCUAUGCGAGUGUUUGGGUGUCAAACCCAUACGCGUAAUGAAAGUGAACGGAGGUGAGAACCCUUAAGGGUGCAUCAUCGACCGGUCCUGAAGUUUACGGAAGGAUCUGAGUAAGAGCAUAGCUGUUGGGACCCGAAAGAUGGUGAACUAUGCCUGAAUAGGGUGAAGCCAGAGGAAACUCUGGUGGAGGCUCGCAGCGGUUCUGACGUGCAAAUCGAUCGUCAAAUUUGGGUAUAGGGGCGAAAGACUAAUCGAACCAUCUAGUAGCUGGUUCCUGCCGAA